GAACUUUCAAAGGUAAUCGAUCAUUAAUGAAUCUGUUCUUACUCCCUUACAACAAGAUCCUAACUACGAUACAAAAUUAGAUUAUUUUUUUCUUUGUGGGGUGGGGAGAGGAGGAAACAGAAAGAUUAUGUCCCUAAUCAAGUUAAAAUAAUUACAUAAAUGGAAAAGGUGUCUACGAAGGAAAAUAUAAAUUGAUUUCUAGCAGCAUACAAUUUAAUAGUAAUCCUUAAUUUACACUUAAUAGUUCACCGUUACAGUAUCUACCAUCUGAAAAAUCCCCAUCUCAACAAGAAAGUCAUAAACAUAGUGAAAAGAAUGAUUGAUAUAUAGCAAAACUAUCUUAUUGACAAGUCAUGAAGUAAUGAUGUGUCAUGAAGUGUGGAUCAAGGCAUGAAUUCUCCUAAAUGAACAAUAUAGCGUAGUACCUGGAAAGAAAGCUCAUGAACAUCAUAUCCAUAAUUUAUUGACAAGGUCUGUGCAUGCGGUGUAAUACAGAGCAAGUGAAAAAAUUAGAUUUCCACAGCGUAAGAGAAGGCACACAUGCUUGUCACAAUUCAUUAGUUAAGGGCGGCCAUAAGCUCUCCCGUAAUUCUCUUGGUAUAAUCACAGCCUUCAGGAAGAUUUUUAUUUUUUAAUUUUAACCAAAAUGGCUAGAACUCAUAAUGUAUGACAAUAAAUUAUUCAAUUAAGAUGGAAAAAUUUAGGUAAAAGAUUUUGGAUGAAAUAAACAUAACUCAUGAGGAUCGCAUUUUAAGUUUAAGACUUUGGAAAGAUAAUUUAACUUUGGAAGAAGUUCAAUCAAUUUCACGUACCAAUUCUUGUCAAUGUUACUAGAGUAAAUAACUAGAUUCGUUUCCAACAAAGCCAAAGCAUUUGAAGAAAAUGAUAUCAAAUUACCCUGAUAAUCGAAUGCACUUAAAUUUGGGGCGUCAAGCUUGAGCUCAUCCAAUGUAUUAUGACAUCUGAGUAAUAGUCACUUAAGCCAGCUACUUGAAAUCUUAAUUCUCCUUAACUUCACACAAGCAGUUAUCCGUAAGUACUCAAGAAGUGGAAGUUCAGAAAUUUGGUUGCAAAGCCAUUU
This 1081-nucleotide long non-coding RNA is filed under the name Citrus maxima (pomelo). RNAcentral's name for it is "long non-coding RNA (CMAX_LNC000360)". Lineage: Eukaryota; Viridiplantae; Streptophyta; Magnoliopsida; Sapindales; Rutaceae. The record is from RNAcentral.